GAAAGGCUGCUUAUGCGAUCAUUUAUCCGCCUUGACUCCUAUGGUGUGUUCUUUCCUUUCUCUCACUCUUAUUUUAUAUUUAUGCUCUUUCAUUGAGGACAAUGUAUGUUUUAAGUGUGGGGGAGGGAACCAUUUAUUUGUUUUGUUUUCUUUAUUUUGUUUUCAGUUUUUCUCUGUUUUGGUUUUUGUUUGCUUUCUUAAAAAAAAUUGCAUGCUUUUUUCUUUGGUUUUUGAGUUACAAUUAUGAGUAUUUUUCUUAGUUCUCUUGACUAAAGUCUUGUGGUGUGGUGUGAAAAAUUUGUUGUGCAUUUUUAGUAAGAUAGGUAGGACUAGACUCUAAAUUGUAUAUCUUUAGCAGUAGAUCAUUAACCCUGAUGAGCUUUGAGCCUUAUAUGGAUAACAUACAAAAAUCCAUCUCUUUCUUUCUUGUGUGAUUCACUCGUGUCUGUUGGUCUCUAGAACUUGAAUUGACUCUUGUUGAUGUUGUUGUUUACUUGUG
RNAcentral lists this long non-coding RNA (499 nucleotides) under Lathyrus oleraceus (garden pea). RNAcentral describes it as "Pisum sativum (pea) long non-coding RNA (PSAT_LNC025720)". Lineage: Eukaryota; Viridiplantae; Streptophyta; Magnoliopsida; Fabales; Fabaceae. The record is from RNAcentral.